AGUUCGAUCAUGGCUCAGAUUGAACGCUGGCGGGAUGCUUUACACAUGCAAGUCGAACGGCAGUAAUGGACUUCGGUCUGGUGGCGAGUGGCGAACGGGUGAGUAAUGUAUCGGAACGCCUAGUAGCGGGGAUAACUACGCGAAAGCGUAGCUAAUACCGCGUGCCAUUGCCUUCGGGGGAAAGCGGGGGACCUUCGGGCCUCGCACUAUUAGAGCGGCCGAUAUCGGAUUAGCUAGUUGGUGGGGUAACGGCUCACCAUGCGACGAUCCGUAGCUGGUUUGAGAGGGACGACCAGCCACACUGGGACUGAGACACGGCCCAGACUCCUACGGAGGCAGUGGGGAAUUUUGGACAAUGGGGAAACCCGAUCCAGCCAUCCGCGUGUGGGCGAUGAAGGCCUUCGGGUUGUAAAAUAUCUUUUGGCAGGGAAAGAAACGGCACGGGAUAAUACCCCGUGCAACUGAAGGUACCCAGAAUAAGCACCGGCUAACUACGUGCCAGCAGCCGCGGUAGUACGUAGGUGCAAGCGUUAAUCGGAAUUACUGGGCGGCGCGCAGGCGGUUCGGAAAGAAAGAUGUGAAAUCCCAGAGCUUAACUUUGGAACUGCAUUUUUAACUACCGAGCUAGAGUGUGUCAGAGGGAGGUGGAAUUUUGUGUGUAGCAGUGAAUGCGUAGAUAUGCGGAGAAAUUUUACUCGAUGGCGGAAGAGCCUUCAUAGCACUGACGCUCAUGCACGAAAGCGUGGGGAGCAAACAGGAUUGAGAUACCUCUGGUAGUCCACGCCCUAAACGAUGUCAACUAGCUGUUGGGGCCUUCGGGCCUUGGUAGCGCAGCUAACGCGUGAAGUUGACCGCCUGGGGAGUACGGCUGCAAGAUUAAAACCAGUGAAUUGACGGGGACCUGCACAAGCGCGGUGAUGAUGUGGAUUAAUCUGAUGCAACGAAAACCUGUUCACCCUUGACAUGUUCAGAAUCCACGACGGGGGAGUGCUCGCAAGAGAACCGGAACAGCGGUGCUGCAGCGGCUGCCGUCAGCUCGUGUCGAGAUGCUGGGUUAAGUCCCGCAACGAGCGCAACCCUUUAGCCGUCAGUUGCCAUGGAGGGCAACGUAAUGAGACUGCCGGUGACAAACCGGAGGAAGGUGGGGAUGACGUUUGUCUCAUGGCCCUUAUGGGUAGGCCGACGGGUCAUACAAUGGUCGGGACAGAGGGCCGCCACCGCGAGGGGGAGCCAAUCCCAGAAACCCGAUCGUAGUCCGAUCGCAGUCUGCAACUCGACUGCGCAGUCGAAAUCGCUAGCAAUCGCGGAUCAGCAUGUCGUAUCGAUGUUCCCGGUCUUGCACAUACCGCCCGUCGCCACUGAAGCGAGGUCAUCAAAGUAGUUGGGGCCUAACCGUAAGGAGGGCGAUUAAUACGACGGUAGGGAUCAUGACUGGGGUGAAGUCGUAACAAGGUAG
This 1456-nucleotide ribosomal RNA is filed under the name uncultured Bordetella sp. RNAcentral describes it as "partial 16S-23S ribosomal RNA intergenic spacer". It matches the Rfam family "Bacterial small subunit ribosomal RNA". Lineage: Bacteria; Pseudomonadati; Pseudomonadota; Betaproteobacteria; Burkholderiales; Alcaligenaceae. The record is from RNAcentral.